Molecule: long non-coding RNA, 1360 nt
Organism: Mus musculus (house mouse)
Lineage: Eukaryota; Metazoa; Chordata; Mammalia; Rodentia; Muridae
Product: predicted gene, 32841
Exons: 3
Source: RefSeq, a predicted model, not a curated record
UGAACUUUUACCCAAGGUUCCAAGGCUAGGAGAUGAUGGAAGAAGAAUUUAGAUUUAGGUGGUGGGCUCUUUAGUUUUGUCUCUCCACCUACGCUCUCUAGCAAGACCAAACAUUGUCGUGUCUUCAUCCCAGUGCCCUGACAUCUUGAGAAGCCUUCUUCCUCAGUGGAUUGGAUGUUACUGUUCUUGACAACACCAGGAGGAGUUUCUCCAUGCAGUAGCUUGGUCUUCCUAUGCUCUCAAGCUCUUGAAGACGGACCCCCUUCUAAGACCAUAGCAACAGACUCUGAGCUGGUGGCUCCCUUCUAACUAAUUAGGGGGAGACUCUGAGCUUGUUGGAGGUGAAGCUGGUCAGAAAGACAUGCCUAGGGGAUUAAAAUCCAGAGGGCCACAGGCUUCCUUUGAAUUCACUUCAUUCUACUCUACUGGAGUCUUGGGACUACACCCAGUGAGCUAUAAGAAAGGAAUCUAUAAAUGGCACCUGACUUCAGCACUUUGACUUCCAGCCCCCCCUACACUGCCACUCCUACUACAAUGGAUCACAUUGCCAUCAAGUGGACUGCCUAAGGCUGACCUCUCCUCUGCCUUCUAACCUCAGAGGAAUGGAGUGUCUGGGAUUCAGAGUGGGAGCUCAUCUGACUGCACAAGCGUCUCCCAUCUGCUUGGAUCCUCCAUCUUGCAACCCAGGGAAGGGCUGAGGCUAUGGCUAUGGUAUCCCCAGCCUUUCUUUGCAGCUUGAGUCAUUGAUUGCCCUGUCCCUGAGCUGCUGUCCUCACCCAACUCUUGAUCUGCACUGUGACCUCUAUCACCUCCUUUUGCUGUAAGGCAGUUCUGUAACACCUUUCAGAGAACGGGGCUGCCAGAGAAUGGGCUAAGGGCCCAUCUGCUCAUAUCUGGGACAAGCACAACUCGGCUACCAGUUCUUCUUCCAAAGUUGCCACCUGUAAAGUUCUAACUGCCACCCAUCCUCAACUCCAUCAGAGAUCUGGUUCUCCCAAACCAUUCGGGCCUGUCUUCCGGCAGCCAUGCCUGGUUGGCCUUUCCCUGUCUUCAGGUUCUUCUCAUACUCCAGCUCCCUGCCACCACCUGGGGACCUUCCAUGUUCAUCCUCUAGAAAGGUUCUCUUCUGGCUCUGGGACUCCUGUGACUACAGAAGGUUCAGCAUUCAUGACUGAAUCCUGGCACUUCAAAUUCCUUCCUCAAGCCACUCCCAAAGCCUCCUGGCCCUUUGCUUAUGGUGACUUGAUUUGUUCAACAAGAUUUUGUUUUAUAUAUAUAUAUAUAAAUCAUCUAUUUCCUAUGGAGUGCUAUUCUUCUUUUCAUAAGGUUGGAAAUGAAGGCAUAAUCAUUGUAAGCAUAU